This 490-nucleotide ribosomal RNA is filed under the name uncultured bacterium. RNAcentral describes it as "partial 16S ribosomal RNA". It matches the Rfam family "Bacterial small subunit ribosomal RNA", at positions 30 to 507 of the family's 1533-position model. The record is from RNAcentral.
AUUGAACGCUGGCGGCAGGCCUAACACAUGCAAGUCGAACGGUAACAGGAAGAAGCUUGCUUCUUUGCUGACGAGUGGCGGACUGGUGAGUAAUGUCUGGGAAACUGCCUGAUGGAGGGGGAUAACUACUGGAAACGGUAGCUAAUACCGCAUAACGUCGCAAGACCAAAGAGGGGGACCUUCGGGCCUCUUGCCAUCGGAUGUGCCCAGAUGGGAUUAGCUAGUAGGUGGGGUAACGGCUCACCUAGGCGACGAUCCCUAGCUGGUCUGAGAGGAUGACCAGCCACACUGGAACUGAGACACGGUCCAGACUCCUACGGGAGGCAGCAGUGGGGAAUAUUGCACAAUGGGCGCAAGCCUGAUGCAGCCAUGCCGCGUGUAUGAAGAAGGCCUUCGGGUUGUAAAGUACUUUCAGCGGGGAGGAAGGGAGUAAAGUUAAUACCUUUGCUCAUUGACGUUACCCGCAGAAGAAGCACCGGCUAACUCCGUG